Molecule: long non-coding RNA, 121 nt
Organism: Haliotis rubra (blacklip abalone)
Lineage: Eukaryota; Metazoa; Mollusca; Gastropoda; Lepetellida; Haliotidae
Exons: 4
Source: RefSeq, a predicted model, not a curated record
UUGCAUGAUUUUAAAACGUUUUUUAGCUUAACGAGUCGGAGAGAGUGAUUUAUUUACUAAAUGACCCCAUGAAAAUUCACUAGCCAGUCGGGCCAGUGACUGUAGAGUUCCUGGCCACAGG